This 710-nucleotide ribosomal RNA is filed under the name Pseudomonadota bacterium. RNAcentral's name for it is "bacterial SSU rRNA". It matches the Rfam family "Bacterial small subunit ribosomal RNA", at positions 28 to 729 of the family's 1533-position model. The record is from RNAcentral. Lineage: Bacteria; Pseudomonadati; Pseudomonadota.
AUUGAACGCUGGCGGAAUGCUUUACACAUGCAAGUCGAACGGCAGCACGGAGAGCUUGCUCUCUGGUGGCGAGUGGCGAACGGGUGAGUAAUAUAUCGGAACGUGUCCAAUAAUGGGGGAUAACGAGUCGAAAGAUUCGCUAAUACCGCAUACGCCCUACGGGGGAAAGCAGGGGAUCGUAAGACCUUGCGUUAAUGGAGCGGCCGAUAUCUGAUUAGCUUGUUGGUGAGGUAAAGGCUCACCAAGGCGACGAUCAGUAGCUGGUUUGAGAGAACGACCAGCCACACUGGAACUGAGACACGGUCCAGACUCCUACGGGAGGCAGCAGUGGGGAAUUUUGGACAAUGGGGGCAACCCUGAUCCAGCCAUUCCGCGUGAGUGAAGAAGGCCUUCGGGUUGUAAAGCUCUUUCGCGAGGGAAGAAAACUUAUGAUCGAAUAAAUCAUGAGGUUGACGGUACCUUGAUAAGAAGCACCGGCUAACUACGUGCCAGCAGCCGCGGUAAUACGUAGGGUGCGAGCGUUAAUCGGAAUUACUGGGCGUAAAGCGUGCGCAGGCGGUUUUGUAAGUCGGAUGUGAAAUCCCCGGGCUCAACCUGGGAACUGCGUUCGAAACUGCAAGGCUAGAGUGUGUCAGAGGGGGGUAGAAUUCCACGUGUAGCAGUGAAAUGCGUAGAGAUGUGGAGGAAUACCAAUGGCGAAGGCAGCCCCC